GGUUGUGGCUCAGUGGUAGAGAACUCGCCUAGCAUGUGUGAGGCCCUGGGUUCGAUCCUUAGCACCA
RNAcentral lists this transfer RNA (67 nucleotides) under Marmota monax (woodchuck). RNAcentral's name for it is "tRNA.Ala". The record is from RNAcentral. Lineage: Eukaryota; Metazoa; Chordata; Mammalia; Rodentia; Sciuridae.